GAUGAACGCUGGCGGCGUGCUUAACACAUGCAAGUCGAACGAAGCACUUCAUAAAGCUUGCUUUAAGAAGUGACUUAGUGGCGGACGGGUGAGUAACGCGUGGGUAACCUGCCUUACACAGGGGGAUAACAGUUAGAAAUGACUGCUAAUACCGCAUAAAACAGCAGAGUCGCAUGACUCAACUGUCAAAGAUUUAUCGGUGUAAGAUGGACCCGCGUCUGAUUAGCUUGUUGGUGGGGUAACGGCCUACCAAGGCGACGAUCAGUAGCCGGCCUGAGAGGGUGAACGGCCACAUUGGGACUGAGACACGGCCCAAACUCCUACGGGAGGCAGCAGUGGGGAAUAUUGGACAAUGGGCGAAAGCCUGAUCCAGCGACGCCGCGUGAGCGAUGAAGUAUUUCGGUAUGUAAAGCUCUAUCAGCAGGGAAGAAAACGACGGUACCUGACUAAGAAGCCCCG
RNAcentral lists this ribosomal RNA (459 nucleotides) under uncultured bacterium. RNAcentral's name for it is "bacterial SSU rRNA". It matches the Rfam family "Bacterial small subunit ribosomal RNA", at positions 28 to 495 of the family's 1533-position model. The record is from RNAcentral.